UACGUAGGGCGCAAGCGUUGUCCGGAAUUAUUGGGCGUAAAGAGCUCGUAGGCGGCUUGUUGCGUCGGUUGUGAAAGCCCGGGGCUUAACCCCGGGUCUGCAUUCGAUACGGGCAGACUAGAGUUCGGUAGGGGAGACUGGAAUUCCUGGUGUAGCGGUGAAAUGCGCAGAUAUCAGGAGGAACACCGGUGGCGAAGGCGGGUCUCUGGGCCGAUACUGACACUGAGGAGCGAAAGCGUGGGGAGCGAACAGG
This 253-nucleotide ribosomal RNA is filed under the name uncultured bacterium. RNAcentral describes it as "partial 16S ribosomal RNA". It matches the Rfam family "Bacterial small subunit ribosomal RNA", at positions 524 to 776 of the family's 1533-position model. The record is from RNAcentral.